GGCUCUCACGAGGUGGCCGACAAAACCGUGGCUCAGAUCUAGCUUUUUUUCUUCGACAGCUCUCUUGUUCUCCAAACUAAUAAUAAAGGUCGCAUCUGGGUUUGCUUCACCAGCUUCUACUUCAAGAGGUGUGUUCAUUGGAUUGAUGGAUGCCCUCCCUUGAAGAAUAAUCUGAUCAUUUGUGUUGCAAAGAACCCAGCCAAUUCCUGCACAUUCAGAAGGCUUGUAGCUCGUCUGGUCUGCAAAGGCACUCUCUAGUGCAAAUGUGUGACAAGUUUGAUCGAUGCCUUGACUAGAGCAUCGAGAGAGUCGAAGAAGAUAAAGAUUAAAAACAAACAAAAAGUCAAUAUUUGUGUUAUAGUAAUAUUAUGUUUGUAGUUUCCAAGAACAUAUUAGUACACUGACAAUACUAGAAGGUGUGUUCCAACUCCAUGUAUAAUUUAUUUGAACUCCUUACCCGCAUAAUUUUGGGCCACUUGGCAUUUAUUUUUUUAGUUAGAAAUAUAUUAUUCUGUCAUAACAUAUUAACAUGUCAUUUAAAAUAUCGAAUUCAGUUGAUUUUGGAAUAAUUAUAAUUUGGAACGAAAAACACAAAGAACAAACAAUCCAACGAGCAUAAUUUUGUUGACAUUGAGAAUUAUCAAAAAGAAGAAAACUAGGAUUACACAGUAUGCAAUUGGACCUCAUUAUGGUCUCAGUAAUUGAUUGUCUCAGGCUGACUCGGCCAUGUCGCUAGACCAUGACAUCGAAUGCUCCCCUAAUUCAAUUCCCCGGUCCAACUUUACCGAUCCAUUGCCACAAAAAGCAAAUCUGAACUCUUCUGACCAAAAAGUUCUGUCCUAAGAUUUCUCUUUCUUCUUAUUUCUGCAAGAAAGAUCAAAACUUUUGUGCACUAAUUAACACAUCUCUGCACAAGUUUGAGUUGUCACUUUCAACUUUUCUUCUAAGAAUAGAGCAUGCUUGAAGUUAUCCGAUCUUGUUCAAAACGUUGAUAGGCUCGUCUAGUUCUCAGAAACAA
This is a long non-coding RNA of Camelina sativa (false flax), 1018 nucleotides long. RefSeq lists it as uncharacterized. NCBI's taxonomy places the organism in Eukaryota, Viridiplantae, Streptophyta, Magnoliopsida, Brassicales, Brassicaceae. The record is from RefSeq and is a predicted model, not a curated record.